UACAGAGACUGCAAGCGUUAUUCGGAUUCACUGGGCGUAAAGGGUGCGCAGGCGGCCGUGUGUGUGAGGCGUGAAAGCCCGGGGCUUAACCCCGGAAUUGCACCUCAAACUACACGGCUAGAGCAUUGGAGAGGGUAGCAGGAUUCACGGUGUAGCAGUGAAAUGCGUAGAUAUCGUGAGGAAUACCAGAGGCGAAGACGGGUUGCUGGGCCGACACUGACGCUGACAGCGCGAAAGCCAGGGGAGCAAACGGG
This 254-nucleotide ribosomal RNA is filed under the name uncultured bacterium. RNAcentral describes it as "partial 16S ribosomal RNA". It matches the Rfam family "Bacterial small subunit ribosomal RNA", at positions 524 to 776 of the family's 1533-position model. The record is from RNAcentral.